RNAcentral lists this ribosomal RNA (468 nucleotides) under uncultured bacterium. RNAcentral's name for it is "partial 16S ribosomal RNA". It matches the Rfam family "Bacterial small subunit ribosomal RNA", at positions 28 to 507 of the family's 1533-position model. The record is from RNAcentral.
GACGAACGCUGGCGGCGUGCUUAACACAUGCAAGUCGAACGGAAAGGCCCUGCUUUUGUGGGGUGCUCGAGUGGCGAACGGGUGAGUAACACGUGAGUAACCUGCCCUUGACUUUGGGAUAACUUCAGGAAACUGGGGCUAAUACCUGAUAGGAGCUCCUGCUGCAUGGUGGGGGUUGGAAAGUUUCGGCGGUUGGGGAUGGACUCGCGGCUUAUCAGCUUGUUGGUGGGGUAGUGGCUUACCAAGGCUUUGACGGGUAGCCGGCCUGAGAGGGUGACCGGGCACAAUGGGACUGAGAGACGGACCAGACGGCUACGGGAGGCAGCAGGGGGGAAUAUUGCACAAUGGGCGGAAGCCUGAUGCAGCAACGCCGCGUGCGGGAUGACGGCCUUCGGGGUGUAAACCGCUGUCGCCUGUGACGAAGCGUGAGUGACGGUAAUGGGUAAAGAAGCACCGGCUAACUACGUG